Cervus elaphus (red deer) is the source of this 151-nucleotide long non-coding RNA. RefSeq lists it as uncharacterized. The record is from RefSeq and is a predicted model, not a curated record. Lineage: Eukaryota; Metazoa; Chordata; Mammalia; Artiodactyla; Cervidae. The transcript is spliced from 3 exons.
GUUCUGUCAGACCUCUCCACCAUGACCCGUCCAUCUUGGGUGGCCCCACACGGCCUGGCUUAGUGUCACUGAGUUAGACACGGCUGUGGUCCAUGUACUCAGAUUGGCUAGUUGUCUGUGAUUGUGGUUUCAUGAGAAAAAUAGAGGAAAA